RNAcentral lists this ribosomal RNA (497 nucleotides) under uncultured bacterium. RNAcentral describes it as "partial 16S ribosomal RNA". It matches the Rfam family "Bacterial small subunit ribosomal RNA", at positions 28 to 507 of the family's 1533-position model. The record is from RNAcentral.
GAUGAACGCUGGCGGCGUGCCUAAUACAUGCAAGUCGAGCGAACGGACGAGAAGCUUGCUUUUCUGAUGUUAGCGGCGGACGGGUGAGUAACACGUGGAUAACCUACCUAUAAGACUGGGAUAACUUCGGGAAACCGGAGCUAAUACCGGAUAAUAUUUUGAACCGCAUGGUUCAAAAGUGAAAGACGGUCUUGCUGUCACUUAUAGAUGGAUCCGCGCUGCAUUAGCUAGUUGGUAAGGUAACGGCUUACCAAGGCAACGAUGCAUAGCCGACCUGAGAGGGUGAUCCGGCAACCUGGAACCGGGGAAAGGUCCAGACUCCUACGGGAGGCAGCAGUAGGGAAUCUUCCGCAAUGGGCGAAAGCCUGACGGAGCAACGCCGCGUGAGUGAUGAAGGUCUUCGGAUCGUAAAACUCUGUUAUUAGGGAAGAACAUAUGUGUAAGUAACUGUGCACAUCUUGACGGUACCUAAUCAGAAAGCCACGGCUAACUACGUG